Long non-coding RNA from Poecilia latipinna (sailfin molly), 1739 nucleotides. RefSeq lists it as uncharacterized. Lineage: Eukaryota; Metazoa; Chordata; Actinopteri; Cyprinodontiformes; Poeciliidae. The transcript has 4 exons. The record is from RefSeq and is a predicted model, not a curated record.
GGGAGCAACAGAAAUACGACGUUAGGACACAAUGAGCUCUGCCUGUUCGGCUGGUGAACAGAUGCGCGUCAAAACCAUCGAGGUUAUACUUCAGCAUGGGUUGACACACAUUAAUCCUCUCAAAUCACGUUACAUCACUGCCAUGACAUUUACAAGAAACGGUGCUAAAACUAGCUUUCACUUUCAAAUGCCUUUCACUGAACUUGGUCAAUGAAACAAAGCAGUUGGGAAACAAAGCAGAUCACUGUAGACUCAGGCACGGGAAUUGGGGGGGCAUGAGGCGGGUGUGGCGUUUGUCGACGGAUACAUACCUACAAACACGUCCACAAUUGAGAACUAAGAGGUUUGUUUCACUUUUUUGUGACAGGUCUUGCCGAUAAGAGAGUGUGGAGCAAUAACUCUGCUGGCAACCUCCCCAGGCAGCCGUCUGCCAAUAAAGUUAGGAAACAGUAUUUCCCCUGAGAUGGUCCCAGACUCCUGGCCAAUGUUUGGUUUGACAAACUGUUGCAAGAUCCCCGCAUUUCAAGUACAUCGGAUGAAUAAGUUAAGGAUAAAUAAUGUAAGCAUGUGCAUUGUUUAGAGGGCGACGCCUCCUGCAUCAGACAGAGACUAUCUGGUUAUUGUGUCUGGAUGCUUCAGCAAGGCCAGUGUUACAUCUUGCAGGAACACAAUGAAAUGUACUUGCACUAAAAUUUACCAGAUUCUUUUUCUGACCUUGGUUCAUUUCUGCACCAUCUUUAAAGGAACUAAUUUGAACAGUUUGAAGAGUCAUAAUGUUGAUAAGAUGGGAAACGCUCAAUUAAAACUUGGACUUUAAUAUUUUGUAGUUGUCUGCUAAAUGUUUUCAUGAAAUGAAAAAAGUCUUCUAUGGCAUUGGGUUUUUGGUGGCGCACUUAAAAAAGCUGUAAAACACUGAAAAUUUGAGUUAUUAUUGUAUUUAUAAAAUAAAGUACAUUUUCUUUAAAGGCUUUUAAAGUCUUGGUUGUACUGUGAAUCCAAGCGAAAGAUUCAUUAUUUUGUCUGCUGCUCCUGUUUUUAGGUUUUAAAUCGUUAGAAAAAUUGUUGUAGUUAAAAGAAAUCUUUUGAAAUUGACAUUGAAAUAAAUCUGUUUCUUACUUUGUGAUUUUGUUGGACUUUUAGAAGAUUGUACAAUGAGGUCAUAAAUGUAUAUCUAAAGAGCUAGGAGGAUAGAGGAGGAAUGAUAAUCAAAAAUCUAAAAUGAUGCUUUCUUCAUUUAGGGGAGCAGGAACUAAAAUCAAAAGAACUAAAAUAUUAGCCACCAACUUUUUUGGCCAAUAUAGAUUUUUGUUUUUCUUUGAAAUUUGACAUCCCGAAUCCAAUGUUUUUUGGGGUUUUUUUCCUAUGGAUUUUAAGAAAUAAAAGAGACAAAAACCAUAGCAGUAGCCCUUUUGAAUCUAACCGAAAAUGGAAGAGAUACAACAUGAUCUGACUUUUCUGAUUUGUUAUUAAAACUCAAAAAAACAUGCAUCCAAUUAUAUGACACAGGUUUGUUGUUGUACAAACCAAAAAUGGUGGGAGUUCUUAUUAUUUUUUAUUCACUUAAUUAGGUCACCUCCAGGUGGAUCGUUACGAACAUACAUCUAAAUGGCGACGCCCACCGUUCAAGGUUAUUCACAAUGAGAUUUCUGACAAACACAUAGGCAAAGUCAGACUCCAGUUUGAACUAACUGCGCAAACAUGGGGCGUAGAGCAGCAGUUAGUUCAAACUGCAGUCUGAA